RNAcentral lists this transfer RNA (72 nucleotides) under Camelus bactrianus (Bactrian camel). It matches the Rfam family "tRNA". From Rfam's summary of the family: Transfer RNA (tRNA) molecules are approximately 80 nucleotides in length. Their secondary structure includes four short double-helical elements and three loops (D, anti-codon, and T loops). RNAcentral also lists the same sequence under 2 other names. Lineage: Eukaryota; Metazoa; Chordata; Mammalia; Artiodactyla; Camelidae. The record is from Rfam by way of RNAcentral.
GAGGGUAUAGCUCAGUGUUAGAGCACAAGCCUAGCAUGCGCAGGGUCCUGGGUUCAAUCCCCAGUAUCUCCA